Long non-coding RNA from Rhagoletis zephyria (snowberry fruit fly), 98 nucleotides. RefSeq lists it as uncharacterized. Lineage: Eukaryota; Metazoa; Arthropoda; Insecta; Diptera; Tephritidae. The record is from RefSeq and is a predicted model, not a curated record.
CUUCGUUCUUUUGACCCUGUAUGCGGGCUUGUUAGUCGAAACGACUAACACCAACUUUGAAUUGAAAUAACAAACAUGAAAAACACAUUUUUUGAUUU